UACGGGGGGAGCAAGCGUUGUUCGGAUUUACUGGGCGUAAAGGGCGCGUAGGCGGUCGUGACAAGUCACUUGUGAAAUCUCCGGGCUUAACUCGGAACGGUCAGGUGAUACUGUCGGACUAGAGUACAGAAGGGGCAACUGGAAUUCUCGGUGUAGCGGUGAAAUGCGUAGAUAUCGAGAGGAACACCUGCGGCGAAGGCGGGUUGCUGGGCUGAUACUGACGCUGAGGCGCGAAAGCGUGGGGAGCAAACAGG
Molecule: ribosomal RNA, 254 nt
Filed under: uncultured bacterium
Lineage: Bacteria
Description: partial 16S ribosomal RNA
Rfam family: Bacterial small subunit ribosomal RNA
Source: RNAcentral